This 300-nucleotide ribosomal RNA is filed under the name uncultured Alphaproteobacteria bacterium. Its description in RNAcentral is "bacterial SSU rRNA". It matches the Rfam family "Bacterial small subunit ribosomal RNA", at positions 113 to 426 of the family's 1533-position model. The record is from RNAcentral. Lineage: Bacteria; Pseudomonadati; Pseudomonadota; Alphaproteobacteria.
ACGCGUGGGAAGUCUGCCCUCGGGGUUUGGGGAGUAACCGUUGGAAACGACGGCUAAUACCGAAUGAUAUCGCGAGAUCAAAGAUUUAUCGCCCUGGGAUGAGCCCGCGUAGGAUUAGCUUGUUGGUGAGGUAACGGCUCACCAAGGCGACGAUCCGUAGCUGGUCUGAGAGGAUGACCAGCCACACUGGGACUGAGACACGGCCCAGACUCCUACGGGAGGCAGCAGUGGGGAAUAUUGGACAAUGGGGGCAACCCUGAUCCAGCCAUGCCGCGUGUGUGAAGAAGGCCCUAGGGUUGU